RNAcentral lists this transfer RNA (63 nucleotides) under Fasciolopsis buskii. RNAcentral's name for it is "Fasciolopsis buski tRNA-Trp". Lineage: Eukaryota; Metazoa; Platyhelminthes; Trematoda; Plagiorchiida; Fasciolidae. The record is from RNAcentral.
AGUAAUUUAGGUUAUUUGACUGUUUGUUUUCAAAAUAAGAGGAGGCUUUAGGGCUGGUUACUG